This is a long non-coding RNA of Erpetoichthys calabaricus (reedfish), 324 nucleotides long. RefSeq lists it as uncharacterized. The record is from RefSeq and is a predicted model, not a curated record. The transcript is spliced from 3 exons. Lineage: Eukaryota; Metazoa; Chordata; Cladistia; Polypteriformes; Polypteridae.
AAGAAGAGCUGCUGUACAGUUUUUCCAAUUCGAAAAAGAAAAGGAGCUGAAAACGUUUUCUGACACGGAACAAUGGCACAACAGAACCAGUCACAUUUCACCAUAAAGGCAGAGAAUAUAAAAACAACUUUGAUAACAUUGAUUAAAUAUCCAAAUGAAUCCAAGUGCCCUCUUUGUAAAAAGCACAGAGACUACAGCAUCCUGCUACGUCACCUUCAGAGUCAUGAAGGCCACAUUGUCAAGUAUGCAGGUUUCCAAAGGACCAUUUUGUGGUGUCUCUGUAUUUCAUCCUCGAGGCCCCCUUCAAUUUUAAUGAGUUGUGUC